Molecule: small nucleolar RNA, 106 nt
Filed under: Colletotrichum trifolii
Lineage: Eukaryota; Fungi; Ascomycota; Sordariomycetes; Glomerellales; Glomerellaceae
Also listed under: 1 other name
Description: Small nucleolar RNA Z13/snr52
Rfam family: Small nucleolar RNA Z13/snr52
About the family: Z13 or snr52 is a member of the C/D class of snoRNA which contain the C (UGAUGA) and D (CUGA) box motifs.
Source: Rfam by way of RNAcentral
CGCCUAUAUGAUGAAGUAUUGCGGAUGUAAAUCAUUAUCGUCUUUGUCGGAAAAAGCGCAACUUAACGAUGUCGAAAUUUCCGUUGCCUUCCUUCUGAUUUCAGGC